AAAAAAGAUGCCUUCUUCCCUUCAACUGCAUCGAAUUAAUCCAACCACUGCCACACUAGCGGUUAAACAACCGCAACUAUCACAGGCUACAACAUGGUUCAGUCCGGUUUCCACUUCUGUCCCUGAUAACGUAUUGCAUCACCACACCCAUGUUGUGGGUCCCAACCAGUGCUGCUCCGCGGUGUUGCAGUCCAUUUCCGCCCCAAUCGACACCGUCUGGUCCCUCGUCCGCCGAUUCGAUAAUCCGCAAGCGUACAAACACUUUCUCAAGAGCUGCCACGUCAUCGUCGGUGACGGUGACGUCGGUACGCUUAGGGAAGUCCGGGUUGUAUCCGGACUACCCGCGGGUUCUAGUACGGAGAGGCUGGAGAUUUUGGAUGACGAGAAACACGUGUUGAGUUUUAGCGUUGUGGGAGGAGAUCAUCGGCUGAAUAAUUACCGAUCGGUGACGACGCUGCACCGGGCGGCGGAAGAAGGAUCGACGGUGGUGGUAGAGUCGUAUGUAGUGGAUGUACCACAAGGGAAUACGAAGGAAGAAACAUGUGUAUUUGUGGAUACGAUUGUGCGGUGCAAUUUGCAGUCGCUGGCCCAAAUCGCACAGAACUUGGCUAAGACGUCAAAGAGU
RNAcentral lists this unclassified non-coding RNA (625 nucleotides) under Hevea brasiliensis (rubber tree). Lineage: Eukaryota; Viridiplantae; Streptophyta; Magnoliopsida; Malpighiales; Euphorbiaceae. The record is from RNAcentral.